UGGAUGGGAUUUUCUCAAGUACUUACCCUAAGAAGAAUCUGGUCAAGCUCCUGGAGGCAAAACUCAGAAAAAUACGACAGCCUCCCACGACUAGGUCCUUCUGGAAUUUUUAACUCUCAGACUUGCUCACACAGAGCCUCUAGCAAUUUGUUAAUUACAGUUCAGAUUUUUUUUUCAACUCAGGCUAUGGUUCCUGCAGUGAUUUCCACUUGUAAGUUUCCUGUCAGUCCUUCUUCUAGCUCAUUGUAGAUGCUAUGAUGAAUUCAGAGGAUGGUGAACAAGAUUCUAUAUGCAUCCUUUUCACUCUUCUGAUGACACAUCACUUGAAUAGCUUCAUGGGAAGCUCUCUUAGGAAACAAGGCCUUGAAAUUUCCCUCACAUACUAGCCCCAGUGGACCCUGUCUCUAUUCCAUAGAAAUGUUGCCCAGAAAUGAGCUCAUAGACCUUCUCAUCAUGGCCAGAGGCAAGCAGUACUGUCUGGGACACCAGGAGCAGAGGUCAGAGGCAAGCUCAACUUUCCUGAAAUAAUGUGCUGAUAUUUCCACUGCGAAAGAUCGGUCAUAGAUGGUGCCUAAAACUGACUCAGCUCUGGCCAGGGCAUAAGAGAGAAUGGGUUCUUGAAACUCCUUAAUCUCAUCGUCCAGAAUGGCCAAGGAAGUCAGUCAUUGUGGACUUCCCCUCUUGUGUCUCGGCCUCCUGUUCCUCACUGACUCUCUGGGUUCUACCCAGACUUCUGGGCCUCAUGCUCCACCAAUACUUAAAAUAAAAUGGUAGGCAGAAUGUCAUUGCACUUGACCUGGUCAUUUUCUUUUCAGGAAAACUCCCAUUCACAGUUUUACUCCCACAAGUUCAGAGGGAUCUACCCAACACUUGGCUGUAGCUGCUGGAUAUGUGACUGAGACAAUAGAGAUCAAGCGAAAUCACUUAGUAAAGGAGAUGUUAUUUGGUCUGAGUCCUGUGCCAGCCCUUACUGCUUUUGUACAUUGCCUGUGUUGUGCGUGGAUACCAAAGGGUUAUUUGAA
RNAcentral lists this long non-coding RNA (1022 nucleotides) under Homo sapiens (human). RNAcentral describes it as "HSALNT0378176". The record is from RNAcentral. Lineage: Eukaryota; Metazoa; Chordata; Mammalia; Primates; Hominidae.